AUUCAAUGUUGGCUUUGAUUAAUCAUAAAUUAGAAAUUAAUAUCAUGUCUUGAAAGAUAUUUAAAAAAAAGUAAGUGGCCAAUUGAUAUGAAUCAUAAAUAGGUAAUUAAAGUAAAAAAUAACCAACAAAAGAUCUUUAUAGAGCUUUUCCAAUAGUAAAGACAAGAAUUAGAGAUGCGGAGGUAGAACAAAUCUCUUUUGUGCAAAAUUCAGCUACAUAUCUAGUAAUACUUAGUCAAUCUUAUAUCAUUGUUGCAAGAAUAGAAAGUAGAGUUUUAAAUGAUGGUUUUGAUUAUACUAGGAUUUGUAGUU
This 312-nucleotide long non-coding RNA is filed under the name Physcomitrium patens. RNAcentral describes it as "long non-coding RNA (PPAT_LNC014091)". The record is from RNAcentral. Lineage: Eukaryota; Viridiplantae; Streptophyta; Bryopsida; Funariales; Funariaceae.